UUCUGCUUGCAGAGGCUAGUAAAGUGGCGCACGGGUGAGUAACACGUGGGUAAUCUACCUCCGAAUUGGGGAUAACAUUGCGAAAGCGAUGCUAAUACCGAAUAACAUUCCAGGAUCUGCGGAUUUUGGAAUCAAAGGUGGCCUCUUCAUGAAAGCUACUGUUUGGAGAUGAGCCCGCGGCCCAUUAGCUUGUUGGUGGGGUAAUGGCCUACCAAGGCGACGAUGGGUAGCUGGUCUGAGAGGAUGAUCAGCCACACUGGAACUGACACACGGUCCAGACUCCUACGGGAGGCAGCAGUGAGGAAUUUUGCGCAAUGGGGGAAACCCUGACGCAGCAACGCCGCGUGAGUGAUGAAGGCCUUCGGGUCGUAAAGCUCUGUCAAGUGGGAAGAAACCGCAAUCGGUUAAUACCCGGUUGUCUUGACGGUACCACUGAAGGAAGCACCGGCUAACUCCGUGCCAGCAGCCGCGGUAAUACGGGGGGUGCAAGCGUUACUCGGAAUCAUUGGGCGUAAAGGGCGCGUAGGCGGCCUGGCAAGUCAGUUGUGAAAGCCCGGGGCUCAACCUCGGAAGUGCAUCUGAUACUGCCUGGCUUGAGUAUGGGAGAGGGAAGUGGAAUUCCUGGUGUAGAGGUGAAAUUCGUAGAUAUCAGGAGGAACACCGGUGGCGAAGGCGACUUCCUGGACCAAUACUGACGCUGAGGCGCGAAGGCGUGGGGAGCAAACAGGAUUAGAUACCCUGGUAGUCCACGCA
RNAcentral lists this ribosomal RNA (753 nucleotides) under uncultured bacterium. RNAcentral's name for it is "bacterial SSU rRNA". It matches the Rfam family "Bacterial small subunit ribosomal RNA", at positions 74 to 801 of the family's 1533-position model. The record is from RNAcentral.